This 2355-nucleotide ribosomal RNA is filed under the name Triticum aestivum (bread wheat). Its description in RNAcentral is "partial small subunit ribosomal RNA". Lineage: Eukaryota; Viridiplantae; Streptophyta; Magnoliopsida; Poales; Poaceae. The record is from RNAcentral.
AUGUGCCAGGUCUUCUUCCUCAACCCCGACCCCGUGGAAUCGGUCAAUAGUUUUCAAAAUCAAGAUUUCAGCGAUGCUACCUCGUUUGCAGAGAUUAAUUCUCCGAUGCUUCUCAUUGAUGAUGCGAGUACACCGAAAAAGAAACAAGCUUGCUCUCAAGAGGGUUCUUUGUAUAAACCCCAGUGUGACGAGGAAUUGAAGCCAAAAGUGGGUAUGCUAUUUGAUGACAUUGGCUCGGUAAUGGAAUUUUAUAGGAUGUAUGCACACCAUGUCGGAUUUGGUGUACGUCUUGGGCAGCAAAAGAUCGUAGAUAAUGUGCUUCAAUGGAAGCGCUUCUUGUGUGCAAAAGAAGGUUUUCGGCCCGAGAAAGGUAUGGUUGUUGUUGAUCCUUCAAAGAAAAGGAGAAAGGUGAAAUUGACUAGAUGUGGAUGUCAAGCUUUUAUCUAUGUCACUCGGGAAAGUGAUGGAAAAUAUAGGAUAGCUUCACUCACUGAAUAUCACAAUCACCCUUUUGUGCCACCUAGCCACCAACACUUGAUCAGGUCUAAUCGUCAAAUUAGUGAGAGGGUGAAGACAACACUCCAUGAUUGCCAGAAAGCUAGCAUCGGAACUUCCUUAGCAUAUAGGUUUCUUCAUUUUGGCGCAGGGGUUUUUGAGCAUGUUGGUUGCACCCAGAAGGACCUACAGAAUCAAUAUGGUGUAUUGAAAAAUAAAAUAAAAAAUUGUGACGCUCAAAUGCUAGUGGACCAAUUUGGUAGAUUGAAGGCUCUCAAUCCUGCUUUUUUCUUUGACUAUGAAGUUGAUGAGGUUGGUACAUUAGUCCGUAUGUUCUGGGCGGAUGCAACAAGUAGGAAAAACUAUGGUCACUUCAAUGACGUGGUAUCUUUUGAUUCAACAUACAACACUAACCAAUAUGAAUACAUAUUUGCGCCAUUCACUGGAGUAAACCAUCAUAUGCAAAGUGUAUUUUUUGGGGCUGGGUUUCUACUUCAUGAGACAGCAGACUCCUAUAUUUGGUUGUUCAGGGCGUUUCUUAGAGCAAUGAGUGGUAUUGCGCCAAGAUUGAUCAUAACUGACGAAUGUAGUAAGAUGAGGAAUGCAAUUAAACAAACUCUGCCGAACACCGCACAUCGAUUGUGUAUGUGGCACAUUAUGGAGAAGGUUCCUGGGAAGGUACGUCCUGAAUUGAGAAAUGACCUUGUAUUCUAUGAUAGGCAAAAACAUUGUGUGUGGAAUUCUGAAACCCCUGCUGAAUUUGAGGAGAGAUGGGAGUCUUUCAUCAUAGAGUUUAAGUUGGAGGACCAUGUGUGGUUCGCAAAGAAGUAUGAACUUCGUGCGGCAUGGAUACCGGCUUACUUUAUGGAAAUUCCCUUAACUGGUCUCCUCAGGACAACUUCUAUUUCAGAGAGCGCAAACUCGUUUUUCAAGCGUUUCAUCUGUCGCAAGCUUACCUUUGUUGAGUUUUGGCUAAGGUUUGACACUACUUUGAAAUGUCAGAGGCAGAAUGAGUUAAUUGUUGAUAAUACAAGUGGAUACACAACAAGUGAGUUGGUGACACCAUGGGAAAUAGACAGACAGGGCAGGGCGGUAUUCACCCAUGAGAUUUUUGAAUUAUUUCAGGCUCAGGUGCUUGCUGCCAGAGAUGAUUGUGAUGUUCAGAACACAGAAAUUUGUGAGGGGAUUAAAAUCAUGUUUGUGAGUGAUCAAUACAAGAAGAUUAGAGAAGUGUCUUAUGACACAACAUCCAUGACUGCUAAAUGUUCUUGCAAGAUUUUUGAGUCCACUGGAAUUGUGUGCCGCCAUAUUAUCCGAGUGUUGAGGGGUGCGAAAAUAAAUGAAUUGCCAAGACUUUAUGUUCUUAAGCGGUGGGAGAGAAAUUGCAAAAGGGACAUUCUCUUCGAUGGGGAAGGAAACAUGCUUGAAGAGAAUUUAAUUGACCCAGUUGACAUUGCUAUGAAAAGGAAGGUAGCUCUCGUCAGGAACAAGCUAGAAGAUCUCAUGCGGAAUUCCAAAUGUUCAAUGGAAGGAAUUGAAUUCUUUCACACUAGUUUGUGCAAUGCCGAGUUGGAUUUAGCCCAGCUCGUACCGGCUGUAGCAUGCAACACACAUCAAAAUGAGGAAUCAUUUAUUGGGAGCAUCAUUCCAAAGCACGUUACCAUCCACACACCUACUGAUAUCAAUGCAAGGGGCACUUGCUCUAGAAUAAAGGGACACAGGGAUGGUGUGAGGAGUGGGUCGAGCGAGAAGAAAAGAAGACCUGGAAUUCAUCAAAAAGUCGCACGCAAAUGCGGCAUUUGUAAGGAACUGGUGUUCCAUGAUGCAAGGACAUGCUCUAAGAAACAAAUGACACAAUAG